RNAcentral lists this long non-coding RNA (216 nucleotides) under Lathyrus oleraceus (garden pea). Its description in RNAcentral is "Pisum sativum (pea) long non-coding RNA (PSAT_LNC017408)". The record is from RNAcentral. Lineage: Eukaryota; Viridiplantae; Streptophyta; Magnoliopsida; Fabales; Fabaceae.
UUAAAAUAGCAAAUUCCUAGUCUCAAGACUGACUUAUGUUAGCUUGAGUGUACCAAAAACCUGCUAUAACAGAUCAAUUAUUUGGCAUGUAUAAAAGCAAAUAGUUGCUAUCUUUGUAACUAAUUAAUUCAGAAAUAAAAAGUUAGUUGUAAAUGAAAAAGUUAAAGAGUAAUUUCCAUUUCUAUCAUGGUAUCAGAGCGCUAGGUUCAAACUAGG